CCAAUAGCGUAUAUUAAAGUUGUUGCAGUUAAAAAGCUCGUAGUUGAAUUUCGGGAUCAAUGUUUCGGUCAUGCCGUUGGUAUGUACUGAUAUUAUUGGUUUCUCACCUUCUAAAGAACCGUAAUGCCAUUAAUUUGGUGUCACGGGGAAUUAGGACUGUUACCUUGAAAAAAUUAGAGUGUUUAAAGCAGGCUCACGCUUGAAUACAUUAGCAUGGAAUAAUGAAAUAGGACAUCCGAUUCUAUUUUGUUGGUUUCUAGGAUCGAUGUAAUGAUUAAUAGGGAUAAUUGGGGGCAUUAGUAUUAAAUUGUCAGAGGUGAAAUUCUUGGAUUUAUUGAAGACUAACUACUACGAAAGCAUUUGCCAAGGAUGUUUUCAUUAAUCAAGAACGAAAGUUAGGGGAUCGAAGAAGAUCAGAUACCGUCGUAGUCUUAACCAUAAACUAUGCCGACUAGGGAUCGGAUGAUGUUAAUUUUUUAAUUACUCAUUCGGCGCCUUACG
This 501-nucleotide ribosomal RNA is filed under the name uncultured Glomeromycotina. RNAcentral's name for it is "partial small subunit ribosomal RNA". It matches the Rfam family "Eukaryotic small subunit ribosomal RNA", at positions 591 to 1092 of the family's 1831-position model. The record is from RNAcentral. Lineage: Eukaryota; Fungi; Glomeromycota.